GCCGUUAGCUCCCUCAUCGGCCGACUCUGCUGAAACAGAAUGAGAAACAUCUUUAACAAACGUCAUGAAACAAGCAGCAGCAGAUUAAUGCUUGAUCUAAGGAGUAAAAAAUAAAAAAAAUAAAAAAUCUCUGAGAUGGAACCUGUCUGACAGCGUGAAGUAGGCUAAGAGGCUUCUAUGAGUCUGGAAAGUCUUUUCUACGCUACUCGGAGUCCAGAGUCCCACAGUGGGAGUCAUUACCCACCAAUGGUAAAAACUCUCGGGAGUGAACAGCUGACUGAAAUUACUUUAAGAGCGUGUCAACGACAGGCCGUCACAGAAGAACCCAGAACAUUAUGGAAAGCACUGCUGACGAUGCUAAUGAUUUAACACUAAGAAAGAGAGACGGCCAUGAAAAGAGAACUCAUGGAAGAGUUACACGGAGAAAAUCCCUCCAUGUUUUCUCCCGCAAAGAAAUAAAAUAAUUCGAAACAUGG
Molecule: long non-coding RNA, 476 nt
Organism: Poecilia latipinna (sailfin molly)
Lineage: Eukaryota; Metazoa; Chordata; Actinopteri; Cyprinodontiformes; Poeciliidae
Exons: 2
Source: RefSeq, a predicted model, not a curated record